UUGCAGAAACAAAGGAGCCUCCCACGGAAGGGAACCGUCGUGAACUCAGAAGUUAGUUUUCGUCCCAGGACCUUUUUAGAAUCGGGCUCCAGCCCAUCACCCUCUCGUUUUGUCCUCAGGAACGGCGGCAGCAGUCUCUUCCCAAUGUUGAGAGCAAAAAGUGUGAACCCAGAAAUUCCGAGAUAGAUCUCAAUUUCUUGCCAAGGUUGACGACACGCGCGUGACAGCCUCAGGAAGUCCUCACGACAUGUGCCCAAGGUGGUCGGGACACAGCUUAGUUUUAUACAUUUUAUGGAGACAUGAGACAUCAAUCAGUGUAUGUAAGUACAUUGGUUCUGUCUGGAAAGGCGGGACAACUUGAAGCAAAGGCAGGAAGACUCGAAGCAGGGAGGGGCUUCCAGGAAACAGAAGAGACAAGUGAACAUUUAUUUUUAUGGCUUUCUUCCUAUGUGUAUUUCAAGUCUUUUUCAAAACAAGGCCCCAGGACUCUCCAGAUUCAGUUAUGUCCUUGGGCUUGGUCGGCUGCUGCAGGAGCCUUAAGGAGCCUUUUACAAAUGCUAGAGUUACUCAUUUAUCAACAUUAAACCCUAGGAUAGAUGCAACGGAGCAAGACUCCUUCCUCCAUGGAAUGUGCUGAUUUCAGAUGACGUGGCACCCAAUGUAGAAAAUGCUGGAAUUUUUCCUUGGAACUGCACUGUGAUGAGAAGUGCUUGCCAUGAACAUAAGCUACUGUCUUUUCUUUUCUUUUUUUGAGACGGAGUUUUGCUCUCGUUGCCCAGGCUGGAGCGCAAUGGUGUGAUCUCUGCUCACCACAACCUCCGCCUCCCAGGUUCCAGCGAUUCUCCCACCUUAGCCUCCCGAGUAGCUGGGAUUACAGGCAUGCGCCACCACGCCCAGCUAAUUUUUAUAUUUUUACUAAAGACGGCGUUUCUCCAUGUUGGUCAGGCUGGUCUCAAACUCCUGACCUCAGGUGAUACGCCCUCCUCAGCCUCCCAAAGUGUUGGGAUUAUAGGCUUGAGCCAUCGCGCCUGGCCAGCUACUGUCUUUUCAGUUUUUGAAGAUAAAGCAGGAAAUAAUCUCUGAAGUACUUGAUAAAAAUUCCCAAAACAACAAAAA
Mandrillus leucophaeus (drill) is the source of this 1116-nucleotide long non-coding RNA. RefSeq lists it as uncharacterized. The transcript is spliced from 2 exons. NCBI's taxonomy places the organism in Eukaryota, Metazoa, Chordata, Mammalia, Primates, Cercopithecidae. The record is from RefSeq and is a predicted model, not a curated record.